CUCAUCUUUUUCUUAGCGCAGAGAUGCAUGCCAAUGCCAUCAAACUUAUUUUGAUCUUAAGCCGUAGUGCAGAUAUGAGGGCGUGAAGUAGGAGUGUGUGAGCCAAAGGAGCAGCAAUACAUUCGAAGAGAGCCUGAGGCAAAGUUGCAUCAGCCACAGAAACACCGUCUACUUGUAUUUGAGCGGCGAGAGCGGUGCUUUGUGCUUGCGUGCGUGGCUUCGCGGUUAGUGAAGUGAUGUGAGCGUUAAUUUAUCGUUCUUCUGCGUUUUCUUCGCGGUGGGUUUGGUAAGUACUGCCUACGAUCAAGUGGACGUUGUUGUUUGUGUUAGGCAUCAUUAUCGCUGUUGUAAAGUAUCCGUUAAGCCUUGGCGUAAGCCAUGUAAUUUGCUUCCUGUGAAUGAGUAGCUUGAUACUUAUUGGCACCGUUAAUAACGAUGUACUAGCUGAGCGUUGAUUAUAACUACACGUCACUAAUUGUCUCUCUUCUUUCAGCAGGUGAGUACCCAUAUCUCAGGUCUCAUCGUGGGACAGACAGCGUUGGAGCACCCCUUCGAGAAAAAGUAAAGUGAAGAUACUGUUUCCUAUGUGUUAGGGCGAUAGGCUAAGCGGCUAAUUUUCAUUGCCUUACAGAUACAAACUAUUUCUUUUGUUUUACAGGUACAUGCUAAUGAAUUAUCUAGUCUUUCCCAGAAUAGUAAUGCCGUUGUUAGUGCACUGUUGUGGCGACCAGAUGGAGCCACAUGCCAGUGAAGGGACAAUACUGAUGUCGGGUCAGCUGAUUUCAAAUGGGUUGCGUGGGAGAUGCAUUCACUCGUUUUGACUGUGCUGCUGGAUGUCCUGAAAAAAAAAUCGCAAAGACGCUAGACCAGUGGUUCCCAAUUUUUUUUUUUUUUUUUAAUCUUUACCCAUUUUUCAUAUAUGAUCCUCAUCCAUGGCCCCUUUCUCCCCCCACACCACAUCUCGUGACUACAGUGACUCUGUAGUCUUACAUUUAUUAAGAAAA
Scylla paramamosain (green mud crab) is the source of this 1004-nucleotide long non-coding RNA. RefSeq lists it as uncharacterized. Lineage: Eukaryota; Metazoa; Arthropoda; Malacostraca; Decapoda; Portunidae. The transcript is spliced from 2 exons. The record is from RefSeq and is a predicted model, not a curated record.